This 73-nucleotide transfer RNA is filed under the name Stieleria magnilauensis. RNAcentral describes it as "Planctomycetes bacterium TBK1r tRNA-Ile". It matches the Rfam family "tRNA". Rfam says of the family: Transfer RNA (tRNA) molecules are approximately 80 nucleotides in length. The record is from RNAcentral. Lineage: Bacteria; Pseudomonadati; Planctomycetota; Planctomycetia; Pirellulales; Pirellulaceae.
CGGCGCGUGGCUCAGUGGUAAGAGCGGCGUCCUUAUAAGACGAGGGUUGAAGGUUCAAUUCCUUCCGCGCCGA